RNAcentral lists this ribosomal RNA (466 nucleotides) under uncultured bacterium. RNAcentral's name for it is "partial 16S ribosomal RNA". It matches the Rfam family "Bacterial small subunit ribosomal RNA", at positions 28 to 507 of the family's 1533-position model. The record is from RNAcentral.
GAUGAACGCUGGCGGCGUGCUUAACACAUGCAAGCCGAACGGAAAGGCUCCUGCUUGCAGUGGUACUCGAGUGGCGAACGGGUGAGUAACACGUGGGUGAUCUGCCCGGCACUUCGGGAUAAGCCUGGGAAACGGGGUCUAAUACCGGAUAGGACGAUGGUUUGGAUGCCAUUGUUGAAAGAUUUUGCGGUGUGGGCUGAUCGCGCGGCGUAUCAGCAUGUUGGUGGGGUAGUGGCCUACCAAGGCGUCGGCGGGUAGCCGGCCUGCGAGGGGGUACGGCCACACUGGGACGGCGCUACCGCCCAGCAUCAGUAGGGAGGCAUCGAUGGUGGAUAUUGGACAAUGGGAGCAAGGCUGAUUGCGGGACGCCGCGUGGGGGAUGACGGACCUCGGGUUGUAAGCUCCUUUCGCUCGGGACGAAGCGGAAGUGACGGUACCUGGAGAAGAAGCAACGGCUAACUACGUG